AUUGAACGCUGGCGGCGGGCCUAACACAUGCAAGUCGAGCGAAGCGGCUGACUGGUGAGUAAUGCCUGGUAAUCUGCCUGGUCGUGGGGGAUCACGUCCGGAAACGGGCGCUCCUACCGCAUACUAUCAUAUGAGCCUGGGUCGGCUUCGCGAGUUGGUUGGGUAAAGGCCUACCAAGGCGACGAUCCGUAGCUGGUCUGAGAGGAUGAUCAGUCACAUUGGGACUGAGACACGGCCCAGACUCCUACGGGAGGCAGCAGUGGGGAAUAUUGGACAAUGGGCGAAAGUCUGAUCCAGCCACGCCGCGUGAGUGAAGAAGGUCUUCGGAUUGUAAAGCACUGUAAGUGGGGAGGCGGUACCAAAAGAAUAAGCACCGGCUAACUACGUGCCAGCAGCCGCGGUAAUUC
RNAcentral lists this ribosomal RNA (407 nucleotides) under uncultured bacterium. RNAcentral describes it as "partial 16S ribosomal RNA". It matches the Rfam family "Bacterial small subunit ribosomal RNA", at positions 30 to 526 of the family's 1533-position model. The record is from RNAcentral.